RNAcentral lists this ribosomal RNA (460 nucleotides) under uncultured bacterium. Its description in RNAcentral is "partial 16S ribosomal RNA". It matches the Rfam family "Bacterial small subunit ribosomal RNA", at positions 338 to 795 of the family's 1533-position model. The record is from RNAcentral.
CCUACGGGUGGCAGCAGUGAGGAAUAUUGGUCAAUGGGCGCGAGCCUGAACCAGCCAAGUAGCGUGAAGGAUGACUGCCCUACGGGUUGUAAACUUCUUUUAUAAAGGAAUAAAAUGAGGCACGUGUGCCUUUUUGUAUGUACUUUAUGAAUAAGGAUCGGCUAACUCCGUGCCAGCAGCCGCGGUAAUACGGAGGAUCCGAGCGUUAUCCGGAUUUAUUGGGUUUAAAGGGAGCGUAGAUGGGUUGUUAAGUCAGUUGUGAAAGUUUGCGGCUCAAGCGUAAAAUUGCAAUUGAUACUGGCAUGCUUGAGUACAGAUGAGGUAGGCGGAAUGCGUGGUGUAGCGGUGAAAUGCUUAGAUAUCACGAAGAACCCCGAUUGCGAAGGCAGCUUACGAAUCUGCGACUGACAUUGAUGCUCGAAAGUGUGGGUAUCAAACAGGAUUAGAUACCCCAGUAGUC